This 827-nucleotide long non-coding RNA is filed under the name Heterocephalus glaber (naked mole-rat). RNAcentral's name for it is "lncRNA (ENSHGLG00100046964.1)". The record is from RNAcentral. Lineage: Eukaryota; Metazoa; Chordata; Mammalia; Rodentia; Bathyergidae.
UGACAACUACAAGUUCAAUAUAAACGACUGCAAUAUAAAUUAGCAUUUACCCAAAGUCAGACAGCUAGCAAGUUUCAAUAAUGUAACCCAAACUCUGCUGUGGAGCUGGCACCUACCACUGGGUGUGCACACCUCCUGCUGUGGUGUCACAUGGAUUCACACCACGAAGCCCAAAAGGAGGGUUCCAAGAUGAUAUCACUGAAGCAGGGCUGGAAAGGGCUGCACCGCAGACUCCCAUCAGUAUUCCCACCACAGGCCUAAAUGGCAUGGAGAGCACUCAUAUGAAGGAAUGGAGAAGAAUUAGUAGGGGAAUAAUGCCAAGCCAUUCUCUCCAUGUCAACCCUAAAAUGUGUUCAAAAACAAGAAAGCCAUGUUUUCCUUGGCCAAAGAAGACAGGAUCUCUUCUGUCCACUUUCAUCCAUCUGUGGAUGCUGCCUUGAACUCUAUGACUGAAGGAAAGUUCUGAAUAACAAAAGAAAACAGAAAAAUUCUGGAUUUUUGUGAUGGCUCCGAGCUCCUGCAUUACCAAAACUGAACAUCUUGGAGCAGAUCUUUCCAAGGACUUUUACUAUUCAGCGUAAUUAAUAAAUAGUCCACAAUGUUUAAACUGGGUAGGGUUAGUGUUCUGUUAUUCCCCAGGCUACAUCUAAAUCCAUACAGGGGGAGUUUUUUCUUUUCCUUCCUCUCCUCUUCUCUCUUCUGUUCUCCCUCUUUUUCUUAAGCUCACAGUAAAUACCAAAUUUUUUAGACAACCAACACUAUCUAUUUGUAUAUAUAAUAUGCUCAUAUGCAAGGUAUGAUUAGAGCUAAAAUGUUCCAGAAAGUUG